UACAGAGGUGGCAAGCGUUGUUCGGAAUUACUGGGCGUAAAGGGCGAGUAGGUGGCCAUCUAAGUCAGACGUGAAAUCCCCCGGCUUAACCUGGGAACUGCGUCUGAUACUGGACGGCUUGAGUAUGGGAGAGGAACGUAGAAUUCCAGGUGUAGCGGUGAAAUGCGUAGAUAUCUGGAGGAAUACCGGUGGCGAAGGCGGCAUCCUGGACCGACAUUGACGCUGAUGAGCGAAAGCUAGGGGAGCAAACGGG
This 253-nucleotide ribosomal RNA is filed under the name uncultured bacterium. RNAcentral describes it as "partial 16S ribosomal RNA". It matches the Rfam family "Bacterial small subunit ribosomal RNA", at positions 524 to 776 of the family's 1533-position model. The record is from RNAcentral.